AGCGAACGCUGGCGGCAGGCUUAACACAUGCAAGUCGAGCGGGCACUUUCGGGUGUCAGCGGCGGACGGGUGAGUAACGCGUGGGAACGUGCCCUCUGGUUCGGAAUAACGCAGGGGAACUUGAGCUAAUACCGGAUACGCCCUUUUUGUGAAAGGCUGGCUGCAGGAGGAUCGGCCCGUGUCUGAUUAGCUAGUUGUUGGGGUAACGGACCAACAAGGCGACGCUCAGUAGCUUGUCUGAGAAGAUGAUCAGCCACACUGGGACUGAGAAACGGCGUAGACUCAUACGGGAGGCAGCAGGAGGGAAUAUUGGAGGAUGGGGGCAAGACUGAUGAAGACAUGACGUGGGAGUGAUCAAGCCCUUAGGGUUGUAAAGCUCUUUUAUCCGGGACGAUAAUGGCGGUACCGGAAGAAUAAGCCCCGGCUAACUUCGUG
This 435-nucleotide ribosomal RNA is filed under the name uncultured bacterium. RNAcentral's name for it is "partial 16S ribosomal RNA". It matches the Rfam family "Bacterial small subunit ribosomal RNA", at positions 29 to 507 of the family's 1533-position model. The record is from RNAcentral.